GACGAAGAACGUAGCGAAAUGCGAUACUUGGUGUGAAUUGCAGAAUCCCGUGAACCAUCGAGUCUUUGAACGCAAGUUGCGCCCGAAGCCAUUAGGCCGAGGGCACGCCUGCCUGGGCGUCACACGUCGUUGCCCCCCCAUCUACUCCUUCGGGAUUGCGGGGGGCGGAUGAUGGCCUCCCGUGCGCCUCGUCGCGCGGUUGGCAUAAAUGCCAAGUCCUCGGCGACACACGCCACGACAAUCGGUGGUUGCGAAACCUCGGUUGCCCGUCGUGUGCGGUCGUCGCGCAUCGAGGGCUCGAAAAAAUUGCCGGGCUCCGGCUCGGCUUUCAACGCGACCCCAGGUCAGGCGGGGUUACCCGCUGAAUUUAAGCAUAUCAAUAAGCGGAGGA
This 391-nucleotide unclassified non-coding RNA is filed under the name soil metagenome. Its description in RNAcentral is "partial contains 5.8S ribosomal RNA, internal transcribed spacer 2, and large subunit ribosomal RNA". The stretch from base 1 to 122 matches the Rfam family "5.8S ribosomal RNA", at positions 35 to 154 of the family's 154-position model. The record is from RNAcentral.